RNAcentral lists this ribosomal RNA (485 nucleotides) under uncultured bacterium. RNAcentral describes it as "partial 16S ribosomal RNA". It matches the Rfam family "Bacterial small subunit ribosomal RNA", at positions 30 to 507 of the family's 1533-position model. The record is from RNAcentral.
AUUGAACGCUGGCGGCAGGCUUAACACAUGCAAGUCGAGCGGGGAAAGGUAGCUUGCUACCUGACCUAGCGGCGGACGGGUGAGUAAUGCUUAGGAAUCUGCCUAUUCGUGGGGGACAACAUCUCGAAAGGGAUGCUAAUACCGCAUACGUUCUACGGGAUAAAGCAGGGGACCUUCGGGCCUUGCGCUAAUAGAUGAGCCUAAGUCGGAUUAGCUAGUUGGUUGGGUAAAGGCCUACCAAGGCGACGAUCUGUAGCGGGACUGAGAGGAUGAUCCGGCAACAUGGGAACUGAAAACCGCCCAGACCUCUAACGGAGGCAACAGGUGGGGAUAUUGGACAAUUGGGGGAAACCUGAUCCAGGCAAGCCGCGGGGAUGGAGAAGGCCUUUUGGAUGGAAAGAACCUUAAGCGAGGGGAGGACUACCGAGAUUAAUACUCUUGGAUAGUGGACGUUACUCGCAGAAUAAGCACCGGCUAACUCUGUG